UACGUAGGUGGCAAGCGUUGUCCGGAAUUAUUGGGCGUAAAGCGCGCGCAGGCGGUCCUUUAAGUCUGAUGUGAAAGCCCACGGCUCAACCGUGGAGGGUCAUUGGAAACUGGGGGACUUGAGUACAGAAGAGAAGAGUGGAAUUCCACGUGUAGCGGUGAAAUGCGUAGAGAUGUGGAGGAACACCAGUGGCGAAGGCGACUCUUUGGUCUGUAACUGACGCUGAGGCGCGAAAGCGUGGGGAGCGAACGGG
Molecule: ribosomal RNA, 253 nt
Filed under: uncultured bacterium
Lineage: Bacteria
Description: partial 16S ribosomal RNA
Rfam family: Bacterial small subunit ribosomal RNA
Source: RNAcentral